AGAUUGAACGCUGGCGGCAGGCCUAACACAUGCAAGUCGAGCGGCAGCACGGGUACUUGUACCUGGUGGCGAGCGGCGGACGGGUGAGUAAUGCCUAGGAAUCUGCCUGAUAGUGGGGGAUAACGUUCGGAAACGGACGCUAAUACCGCAUACGUCCUACGGGAGAAAGUGGGGGAUCUUCGGACCUCACGCUAUCAGAUGAGCCUAGGUCGGAUUAGCUAGUUGGUAGGUAAAGCCUACCAAGGCUACGAUCCGUAACUGGUCUGAGAGGAUGAUCAGUCACACUGGAACUGAGACACGGUCCAGACUCCGUACGGGAGCAGCAGGUGGGAAUAUUGGACAAGUGGGACGAAAGCCUAGAUCCAGCCAUGCCGCGUGUGUGAAGAGGUCUUCGGAUUGAAAGCUAGUUAGUGGAGAGGUCAUUAACCUAUACGUUAGUGUUU
This 443-nucleotide ribosomal RNA is filed under the name uncultured soil bacterium. RNAcentral's name for it is "bacterial SSU rRNA". It matches the Rfam family "Bacterial small subunit ribosomal RNA", at positions 26 to 470 of the family's 1533-position model. The record is from RNAcentral.